UACGUAGGGAGCAAGCGUUGUCCGGAAUCAUUGGGCGUAAAGCGCGCGUAGGUGGCCCUGUAAGUCCGUUGUGAAAGUCAAAGGCUCAACCUUUGAAAGCCGAUGGAUACUGCAGGGCUAGAGUACGGAAGAGGCGAGUGGAAUUCCUGGUGUAGCGGUGGAAUGCGCAGAUAUCAGGAGGAACACCAAUAGCGAAGGCAGUUCGCUGGGACGUUACUGACACUGAGGCGCGAAAGCCAGGGGAGCGAACGGG
RNAcentral lists this ribosomal RNA (253 nucleotides) under uncultured bacterium. Its description in RNAcentral is "partial 16S ribosomal RNA". It matches the Rfam family "Bacterial small subunit ribosomal RNA", at positions 524 to 776 of the family's 1533-position model. The record is from RNAcentral.